This 253-nucleotide ribosomal RNA is filed under the name uncultured bacterium. RNAcentral describes it as "partial 16S ribosomal RNA". It matches the Rfam family "Bacterial small subunit ribosomal RNA", at positions 524 to 776 of the family's 1533-position model. The record is from RNAcentral.
UACGUAGGGGGCAAGCGUUGUCCGGAAUCAUUGGGCGUAAAGAGCGUGUAGGCGGCCAGAUAAGUCCGCUGUGAAAUCUCGAGGCUCAACUUCGAGCUGUCGGUGGAAACUGUCUGGCUAGAGUCCGGAAGAGGAAAAUGGAAUUCCUGGUGUAGCGGUGAAAUGCGCAGAUAUCAGGAAGAACACCCGUGGCGAAGGCGGUUCUCUGGGACGGUACUGACGCUGAGACGCGAAAGCGUGGGGAGCGAACAGG